Molecule: small RNA, 27 nt
Filed under: Bombyx mori (domestic silkworm)
Lineage: Eukaryota; Metazoa; Arthropoda; Insecta; Lepidoptera; Bombycidae
Description: ovarian small RNA-14298
Source: RNAcentral
CGCAAACGAACGGCCUCACUGAUGCGU